RNAcentral lists this transfer RNA (92 nucleotides) under Undibacterium sp. KW1. Its description in RNAcentral is "tRNA-Ala". Lineage: Bacteria; Pseudomonadati; Pseudomonadota; Betaproteobacteria; Burkholderiales; Oxalobacteraceae. The record is from RNAcentral.
CAUUUGGUGGACAGGCAUGCAGGCCCUGGGGCGGGCUGCCUCAUGGCAAAUGAUGAUGGUGGCUGACGGCGGUGCAGUGCUGCCCUUGAUGC